UACAGAGGUCCCAAGCGUUUGUUCGGAUUCACUGGGCGUAAAGGGUGCGUAGGCGGUCGGGUAAGUCUGACGUGAAAUCUCCAAGCCUAACUUGGAAACUGCGUUGGAUACUAUCCGGCUUUGAGGAAUGGAGGGGAGACUGGAAUACUUGGUGUAGCAGUGAAAUGCGUAGAUAUCAAGUGGAACACCAGUGGCGAAGGCGAGUCUCUGGACAUUUCCUGACGCUGAGGCACGAAAGCCAGGGGAGCAAACGGG
This 255-nucleotide ribosomal RNA is filed under the name uncultured bacterium. RNAcentral describes it as "partial 16S ribosomal RNA". It matches the Rfam family "Bacterial small subunit ribosomal RNA", at positions 524 to 776 of the family's 1533-position model. The record is from RNAcentral.